GAUGAAGAACGUAGCGAAAUGCGAUAAGUAAUGUGAAUUGCAGAAUUCAGUGAAUCAUCGAAUCUUUGAACGCACAUUCCGCCCGCCAGUAUUCUGGCGGGCAUGCCUGUUCGAGCGUCAUUACAACCCUCAAGCCCCCCGGCUUGGUGUUGGGGACCGGCCACCGGUGCCCUGCUGCUUCCGCGGCAGGCGCACCCGGCCGCCCCCGAAAUGAAUUGGCGGCCCCGUCGCGGCCUCCCUCUGCGUAGUAGCACACAUCUCGCAGCUGGAGCGCGGCGCGGCCACUGCCGUAAAACGCACCAACUUUUUUUACAGUUGACCUCGAAUCAGGUAGGAAUACCCGCUGAACUUAAGCAUAUCAAUAAGCGGAGGA
This 373-nucleotide unclassified non-coding RNA is filed under the name soil metagenome. Its description in RNAcentral is "partial contains 5.8S ribosomal RNA, internal transcribed spacer 2, and large subunit ribosomal RNA". The stretch from base 1 to 120 matches the Rfam family "5.8S ribosomal RNA", at positions 35 to 154 of the family's 154-position model. The record is from RNAcentral.